This 446-nucleotide ribosomal RNA is filed under the name uncultured bacterium. RNAcentral's name for it is "bacterial SSU rRNA". It matches the Rfam family "Bacterial small subunit ribosomal RNA", at positions 355 to 825 of the family's 1533-position model. The record is from RNAcentral.
UGGGGAAUCUUGGACAAUGGGCGCAAGCCUGAUCCAGCCAUGCCGCGUGAGUGAAGAAGGCCUUCGGGUUGUAAAGCUCUUUUACCAGGGACGAUAAUGACGGUACCUGGAGAAUAAGCCCCGGCAAACUUCGUGCCAGCAGCCGCGGUAAUACGAAGGGGGCUAGCGUUGUUCGGAAUUACUGGGCGUAAAGCGUGCGUAGGCGGCCAUUCAAGUCAGAGGUGAAAGCCUGGAGCUCAACUCCAGAACUGCCUUUGAAACUAGAUGGCUAGAAUCUUGGAGAGGUGAGUGGAAUUCCGAGUGUAGAGGUGAAAUUCGUAGAUAUUCGGAAGAACACCAGUGGCAAGGCGACUCACUGGACAAGUAUUGACGCUGAGGUACGAAAGCGUGGGGAGCAAACAGGAUUAGAUACCCCAGUAGUCCCUGAGCGGGCUGGCAAGGCGCAU